AUUGAACGCUGGCGGCAGGCCUAACACAUGCAAGUCGAACGAGUGGCGGACGGGUGAGUAAUGUCUGGGAAAGUGCCUGAUGGAGGGGGCUAACUAGUGGAAACGGUAGCUACUACCGCAUACCAUCAGAUGUGCCAAGGGUGGUCUAGCUAGUUGGUGGGGUAACGGCUCACAAAGGCGACGAUCCCGACCUGGUCUGAGAGGAUGACAGGCCACACUGGAACUGAGACACGGUCCAGACUCCUACGGGAGGCAGCAGUGGGGAAUAUUGCGCAAUGGGCGCAAGCCUGAUGGAGCCACGCCGCGUGUAUGAAGAAGGCCUUCGGUUUGUAAAGUACUUUCAGCGGGGAGGCGUUACCCGCAGAAGAAGCACCGGCUAACUCCGUGCCAGCAGCCGCGGUAAUAC
RNAcentral lists this ribosomal RNA (406 nucleotides) under uncultured bacterium. Its description in RNAcentral is "partial 16S ribosomal RNA". It matches the Rfam family "Bacterial small subunit ribosomal RNA", at positions 30 to 526 of the family's 1533-position model. The record is from RNAcentral.